Molecule: unclassified non-coding RNA, 149 nt
Filed under: soil metagenome
Description: partial internal transcribed spacer 1
Source: RNAcentral
CCGUGUUUACAACUCCCAAACCCCUGUGAACAUACCUUUAUGUUGCCUCGGCGGAUCAGCCCGCGCCCCGUAAAACGGGACGGCCCGCCGCAGGAAACCCUAAACUCUGUUUUUAGUGGAACUUCUGAGUAUAAAAAACAAAUAAAUCA